This 1420-nucleotide ribosomal RNA is filed under the name uncultured prokaryote. Its description in RNAcentral is "partial 16S ribosomal RNA". It matches the Rfam family "Bacterial small subunit ribosomal RNA". The record is from RNAcentral.
AUUGAACGCUGGCGGCAGGCUUAACACAUGCAAGUCGAGCGGUAACAGAGAUAGCUUGCUAUCUGCUGACGAGCGGCGGACGGGUGAGUAAUGCUUGGGAAUAUGCCUUAUGGUGGGGGACAACAGUUGGAAACGACUGCUAAUACCGCAUGUCUACAGACCAAAGGGGGCUUUUAUUAGCUCUCGCCUAAAGAGUGGCCUAAGCGAGAUUAGCUUGUUGGUGAGGUAAAGGCUCACCAAGGCGACGAUCUCUAGCUGUUCUGAGAGGAAGAUCAGCCACACUGGGACUGAGACACGGCCCAGACUCCUACGGGAGGCAGCAGUGGGGAAUAUUGCACAAUGGGCGCAAGCCUGAUGCAGCCAUGCCGCGUGUGUGAAGAAGGCCUUAGGGUUGUAAAGCACUUUCAGUAGGGAGGAAAAGUUAGUCGUUAAUAUCGGCUAACCCUGACGUUACCUACAGAAGAAGCACCGGCAAACUCCGUGCCAGCAGCCGCGGUAAUACGGAGGGUGCGAGCGUUAAUCGGAAUUACUGGGCGUAAAGCGCGCGUAGGCGGCUUGUUAAGCUAGAUGUGAAAGCCCCGGGCUCAACCUGGGAACUGCAUUUAGAACUGGCAGGCUAGAGUACAGUAGAGGGUGGUGGAAUUUCCUGUGUAUCGGUGAAAUGCGUAGAUAUAGGAAGGAAUACCAGUGGCGAAGGCGGCCACCUGGACUGAUACUGACACUGAGGUGCGAAAGUGUGGGUAGCGAACAGGAUUAGAUACCCUGGUAGUCCAUGCCGUAAACGAUGUCAACUAGCCGUUGGAAGACUUGAUCUUUUAGUGGCGCAGCUAACGCAAUAAGUUGACCGCCUGGGGAGUACGGCCGCAAGGUUAAAACUCAAAUGAAUUGACGGGGGCCCGCACAAGCGGUGGAGCAUGUGGUUUAAUUCGAAGCAACGCGAAAAACCUUACCUACUCUUGACAUCCUCAGAACUUAGCAGAGAUGCUUUGGUGCCUUCGGGAACUGAGUGACAGGUGCUGCAUGGCUGUCGUCAGCUCGUGUUGUGAAAUGUUGGGUUAAGUCCCGUAACGAGCGCAACCCUUGUCCUUAGUUGCCAGCAUUUAGUUGGGGACUCUAAGGAGACUGCCGGUGACAAACCGGAGGAAGGCGGGGACGACGUCAAGUCAUCAUGGCCCUUACGAGUAGGGCUACACACGUGCUACAAUGGCAAGUACAGAGGGCCGCGAAGCCGCGAGGUGGAGCUAAUCUCACAAAGCUUGUCGUAGUCCGGAUUGGAGUCUGCAACUCGACUCCAUGAAGUCGGAAUCGCUAGUAAUCGCAAAUCAGAAUGUUGCGGUGAAUACGUUCCCGGGCCUUGUACACACCGCCCGUCACACCAUGGGAGUGGGUUGCUCCAGAAGUAGAUAGCUUAACCCUUCGG